This 464-nucleotide ribosomal RNA is filed under the name uncultured bacterium. RNAcentral describes it as "partial 16S ribosomal RNA". It matches the Rfam family "Bacterial small subunit ribosomal RNA", at positions 29 to 507 of the family's 1533-position model. The record is from RNAcentral.
ACGAACGCUGGCGGCGUGCUUAACACAUGCAAGUCGAACGGAAAGGCCCCUUUGGGGGUACUCGAGUGGCGAACGGGUGGGUAACACGUGAGUAACCUGCCCUUGACUUCGGGAUAACUUCAGGAAACUGGGGCUAAUACCGGAUAGGAAUCCUUACUGCAUGGUGGGGGUUGGAAAGCUUCGGCGGUUUUGGGUGGACUCGCGGCUUAUCAGCUUGUUGGUGGGGUAGUGGCUUACCAAGGCUUUGACGGGUAGCCGGCCUGUGAGGGCGACCGGCCACAUUGGGACUGAGAUACGGCCCAGACGCCGACGGGAGGCAGCAGUGGGGAAUAUUGCACAAUGGGCGGAAGCCUGAUGCAGCAACGCCGCGGGCGGGAUGACGGCCUUCGGGUUGUAAACCGCUUUCAGCAGGGGCGAAGCUUGUGGUGACGGUACCUGCAGAAGAAGCACCGGCUAACUACGUG